CCUACGGGAGGCAGCAGUGAGGAAUAUUGGUCAAUGGGCGAGAGCCUGAACCAGCCAAGUCGCGUGAGGGAAGACGGUCCUAUGGAUUGUAAACUUCUUUUGUCGGGGAGCAAAAAGGCCUCGUUAUGCUACUAGUGAGAGUACCUGACGAAAAAGCAUCGACUAACUCCGUGCCAGCAGCCGCGGUAAUACGGAGGUUGCGAGCGUUAUCCGGAUUUAUUGGGUUUAAAGGGUGCGUAGGCGGAGUGUAAAGUCAGCGGGAAAAUUUGGAGGCUCAACCUCUUUGCGCAGUUGAAACUGUCGGUCUUGAGUGGGCGAGAGGUAUGCGGAAUGCGUGGUGUAGCGGUGAAAUGCAUAGAUAUCACGCAGAACUCCGAUUGCGAAGGCAGCAUACCGGCGCCCAACUGACGCUGAGGCACGAAAGCGUGGGUAUCGAACAGGAUUAGAUACCCGGGUAGUC
This 460-nucleotide ribosomal RNA is filed under the name uncultured bacterium. Its description in RNAcentral is "partial 16S ribosomal RNA". It matches the Rfam family "Bacterial small subunit ribosomal RNA", at positions 338 to 795 of the family's 1533-position model. The record is from RNAcentral.